Molecule: ribosomal RNA, 441 nt
Filed under: uncultured bacterium
Lineage: Bacteria
Description: bacterial SSU rRNA
Rfam family: Bacterial small subunit ribosomal RNA
Source: RNAcentral
AACGCGAAGAACCUUACCUACCCUUGACAUCCUAGGAAUCUAGCAGAGAUGCUGGAGUGCCGAAAGGAACCUAGAGACAGGUGCUGCAUGGCUGUCGUCAGCUCGUGUUGUGAGAUGUUGGGUUAAGUCCCGUAACGAGCGCAACCCUUAUCCUUAGUUGCCAACAUGUAAUGGUGGGGACUCUAAGGAGACUGCCGGUGAUGAACCGGAGGAAGGCGGGGACGACGUCAAGUCAUCAUGGCCUUUAUGGGUAGGGCUACACACGUGCUACAAUGGACAGUACAGAGGGUUGCCAAACUGUGAAGUGGAGCCAAUCCCAGAAAGCUGUUCGUAGUCCAGAUUGAAGUCUGCAACUCGACUUCAUGAAGUCGGAAUCGCUAGUAAUCGCGAAUCAGAAUGUCGCGGUGAAUACGUUCCCGGGCCUUGUACACACCGGAGUGC